Molecule: long non-coding RNA, 27159 nt
Filed under: Eucalyptus grandis
Lineage: Eukaryota; Viridiplantae; Streptophyta; Magnoliopsida; Myrtales; Myrtaceae
Description: long non-coding RNA (EGRA_LNC004554)
Source: RNAcentral
GAAUUUCUCAAAGGAUGACUUCAGACAGGUCUGUUUCUGCUGGUCGACAUAAUUAGAUGCUCACAGUGACUGUCAUUCUCAUUGAAGUGCUGGAAACCUGUUCUUGUGGUAUAAAGAAAAGUUUCUGGAUGGGAUGAAUAAAACUUGGUGACACAAAUGCAUCACGUUCUUAUAUGUCUUCAAUCCAGCACUCGCCAGACAUACUACCUCUUUUGAUUCUAGAUAGAUGUAAAAGCACAAGUAAUGGCUUUAAUGAGCCUGAAAGAGGUAGGUUCCCGGAUUCUCAUUCUUUUGGGAAUGAAUAAAAAUAGGUUUAUUUGUAAGUUGCUCUGUUUCCAAGUCUUCCCACCAUUUGCUAAUCACUAUCCUUUCUCCACUUUUCGCCCACCCUUUUUCUCUCAUCUUCCUUCACAAGAUUAGCAAUAUUUCCUCAAAAGAACCGACACCAGUAUUGGGCCUCAGCCCUCCAUCCUUUUUUAUUCUCAUCUUUCUUCACAAGAUAAAUUGUAUCUUGACACAACCAUUUCUUGAGUGAAAACUCCCAAACACCUUUCUUAUGGAAGUUUUGGGAUCAAGUUGUGUAUUACUUCCUGCCAUUAGUUUUGGGCGAGUGAAGUAGCUAUUUUUCUUCGUAGCUAAAAGAGCUUUGCAUCUGAUAAUAUUCAUCUACACAUCAUCUACAUUUGUGAUUUCUUUCUCUAUGUGACUAAUGGUACCAUCACAUGAACAAUACUUAGAUUGCGGAUUUGGUUUCUGUUUUCACAUCUUACAUCAAACCCAUUAGCCUUGUGUGGUAGUUGCUGGAUCACUUAAUGAUUUGGGAAAAGAUAUUUUAAUCAUUUCAAGAUAAUCUUUAACUGAUGAUGCUUUUCCAGAUACACAGCGAUUGUGCACUUCCAAAUGCUUAUUAUGUCAAGUAAAAGACAAUCUGAUGGCAUGCAAUGCAACCACUUUUGCUCUUGUUGCGGUAGAAUUUGGCGUUAAAAGGAAAAUGAUAGUUGCUUAUAUGCUUUCUGCUGAGACAUUGCUCUAUGUUAUGCAGUACCUACCAAGGUUACAGCCAGAGAACUUGGCUCACAACGCCAAGUUAUUUGACCGAGUGAAUGAAAUUGCACAAAGAAAGGGAUGCACCCCAUCGCAGUUAGCCCUCGCCUGGGUACACCACCAGGGUGAUGAUGUUUGCCCGAUUCCCGGCACAACCAAGAUCGAGAAUUUCAACCAGAACAUUGGGGCUCUGUCAGUGAAGUUUACACCAGAAGAGAUGGCUGAGCUCGAAUCGAUUGCUUCUGCGGACAAUGUCAAGGGUGACAGGUACGAUAGCAGCGUUCCUACAUGGGAAAACUCCGACACUCCACCUCUUUCUUCAUGGAAACCUGCCUAGAAACAUGUCUGCUUCUGGUGCUGCAUCUUUGAUAUGCAGAGUUUGAGCAUUUGCUGCUGAGGUAAUUUGAGGCUAUGUUGUGUGGCUGUUAUAAGUACGUGUAAUAAAAGAGUUCGUUAUCUUGUAAUAAAAUCUGAACUCCAGAGAGUGACUGUUUUCGUUUUGUACAUGUGACAUUCAAUAUGAGAAGAUUAUAGAUGUGUACUAAGCUUAUUGAGGAAAGAUCACUCGAGAAACACGAGAGUUAGUUGAAUACUGUGAGAUAUUUGUAGGACUACUGUCAAUUACUCUAAAAACUUAAGCUGUAUGAAUGUGUGAAUAUUCUAAUAUUCUCUCAGAUGCUUAGUUUGGUCUUUUAUCUAAUACUAAGCAUGCAAAUUUAAUUGAGGAGACAAAUGGAGUAUGGAAAGAUUUAAACUUGGGACCUUCAACUCUGAUAUCAUGUAAAAUUUAAUCGUAUGAGAUUUUAUGAUAUUGCUAUCAACUAUUUUAAAAUCUUAAGUACAUAUUUCUGGUCCUCUCAUCCCCUAGCUUUGUGUUUAUAGACAAGACUGACAGCCAGGAAUUAGUUGCCAGUCAUCACAUUGUGUACCUCCACAUUAAUGGACUAUUCCUCCAGAAAAUAUAGAGUAUACAUUGAUGGACAUGUGCAGGUGCCCGUAAAACUUAAGGAAGAAGAAUUAGGAAGAAGAAUCCUCAAGGGGUGGAACUCCUUAAUGUCACAUCCUAUAUUCCCACCUAGGAAGAAAAAGAUAUGAAGGGAAUUAGGAGACCUUUAGUGGGAAAGGUAAAUAUUAUGUCAAGAUUUUGGUUCUGACUAUCUUAGAAUAGACAUAUAUAGUAGUCUCGUGCACUUAGAAUAAGAAAGUGGAGUGUCCAACCUCCUGCUAGGUUGCCUAAGGAUACACAUGGCAAUGAGUCCCUGAACAUAAGCCUAAUGUAUAGCGUCGUUCAAUUUUUAAUUUAUUCAAUAUAGUCUAUAAACGUUAGUCCAAUAUGCAAUGUAGACUCUGUAUUUUUUAUUUGUUCAAUCUAAUCCCUAAACUUUCGGUAUAUGUUUAAUUUGGUCCUUAAAUUAUGAUAAAAUGUUCAAUGUUUCCCUGAUUUUGAAUUCAUGGAGAGAUUACAUUUAACAUUUUCAUAGAUUUAAAUGAUUACAUUGAACAAAUUGAACAAAUUAAAAAUUAAAGGACUAUAUUGCAUAUUGAGUGAAAAUUUAUGGACCAUUUUUGUCAUUAUUCCCAUCACAAAAAUAGAACAUUUAACAAGGAAAAAAAAUCUAUACAUAGAUAAUAGAGAUACAUAGCAAUAAAUAUGUCAUGAAAAUAAUUAAAUCUACAAAAUAUUUAAUACCUUCAUUAUACGAAAAACGAGGUGGCUGAGGAUUGCGGCCUCCAGUCCAUCCCCCAAUUUUUCCAUUCACAUAACUUCAAAGUCGUGCAAAACUAUUAUUGAUGAUUACUCAAUCCGGACUUGCCUUUUGAGUCGCACAUUGUUAAUUUUGUUAGCAAAAAUUUUAUCAUGCACAUAUCACAAUUUUUCAACAUUGUGCAAUCAAUUCCUGAAAGUUCUGAAAUUGCAGAGUUAUGUAAUAUGAUAUAAACCUUUAUUCUUUCACGACUCCUAGUUAUGAUUAUUUUUAGGACCGUGCGAUUUUCAUUCCAAAUUUUGUUUUUCACAAGUCCUUUUACAUCGUUUUUCUUCUGAUCAUAUUACAUCCGCUAUCCCUCCUUUCGUUCGAUUGCUUGCUUUUCUUUUCUUGCAAGUCUCAUGUUGUUCUUUCUUUGCUAUUAUUGUAAUGACAUAAAGUAGUUUUUAAAUUUUGACUCAAUAUAUAAUUUGAAUGUGAUUUCUGGACUUUAUCCUAGAGUUGAUUUUCCUUGCUUUGUUGUCUCCCCUUUCGGCUCAUGCUGACCAGCCAUUUGUACCCCAUUCCUCUUCUUCUUACUCUGUUUUCGAGCUUUCGUCCACCCUUUCCUUUCCUUGCUGACCAUCUGAGGGAAGACGAAGAGCUGGGCUCUCUCUUCUCUAAAGAAGAGUCGCAGGACGUGCAUUCGAACCUGCAAUAAUGUCUCUCCUCAUUGAUUUUUGCCCCGAAAAUGUCUGUCUUCCAGCUGUUCGAUAAAAUGCCUCUGAGAAAAGUGUCAUUGGGUUGGCUUGUUCGGUUGCUCUAUUUGCUUUCGUUAUAUUUGUCUUUCAGGACGGGGACAGUAACUUCGUCUUCGAGGGAAAACCAUACGGAGGAUGCCUUUGUCCGGCGGCGCGAGAACGACGGGGAAGAAGGUUCGGGCACGGGUUCUUCCGUCGGGUAACCGCCGAACGACGGCACGGCGGACUCCGGAAUCUCGCCGGCAAGCUUGUUGUGGGAUUCAGUCGAGAGUAGGUGACGAGAGCCUGACGUCAGCACGCGCGCCUUUUUGUAGACCCGUUGACUUUUCACCGCCGGCAGCUUCGUUGUCGCGUCGGUUCAGUGGAGGAAGUGAGCGAGCGAGCAAGCUCUCGGACCGUUUCUUCUCCGCGCUCUCUUCUCGCAUCGACCUCGAGAUAGGCGGCGGCGGCGAUGGCGAUGGCGUCGGCGGCGGUGAGGAGGAUCAAGCUGGGGUCGCAGGGCCUGGAGGUCUCGGCGCAGGGGAUGGGCUGCGCGCGCAUGUCCCCCUUCUCUGGCCCCCCCAAGCCCGACCCCGACAUGAUCGCGCUCAUCCGCCACGCCGUUGGCUCCGGCGUCACCUUCCUCGACACGGCCGACGUCUACGGCUUUAGUGCCAACGAAGUCCUCAUCGGAAAGGUUGGUUUUUUGAGAUAUUGAGUCGCGUCUCCAUUCUAAAGGUUUCGUCUUGUUAGAUCAACUAGCUGACAGUCGUCGCAGAUAAUUCUGUAAUCUGAUCGAUUUCGGUGCUCGUGUGUGUUAUAAAGCUUAGUCUCAGCUUCUGCAUGAUGUAGAUAUGCUACAGUCAUGCCGAAUUCUAAGAUCCUGCAUCUCGAUUUCCGAAUUUCGGGGUCUUGUUGUGGUGAUUUGGUGUGGAUUUUGAGCAGGCACUGAAGGGAGGGGUGAGAGAGAAGGUGGAAUUGGCGACCAAGUUCGGGCUCUGCUAUGCAGAUGGAAAGUGGGAUGUCCGGGGCGAUCAAGUGUACGUGAGGGCGGCCUGCGAGGACAGCUUGAAGCGUCUCGACGUCGAUUGCAUCAACCUCUACUACCAACACCGUAUCGACACUCGCGUCCCCAUCGAAGUCACUGUAUGGAUCCCUCAUUAAACCUUUCCCCCUUUUGAGACUUUCUCUGAGCCAUGUGAUGAGUUGUUAAACUAGAUUCGUGUUGAUGAUGCAUCCUCGCGUCGUUAAUAGUUUGGGGGAUCUUGUGACAGAUUUAACUAUUUCCUUGCCUUUGACUGGUAAGGUUUUGUUAAAUGAGAUUUUGAUAUUCGAGAUCGGGAUGCAGCACGGUGUUGUUAAAGAGGUUGUGGAGCCUAGUCUUUUCAGUGGCUGAGCUUUUUGCCUUAUGGGCAUCUUUUACAAGUUAAGGGUCAACAAGCAUGAAAAUUAUUCUGGAUAUUCCUUCAAAAUGAAAGGGCCAUGGGCGUUCAUCCUAAUUUAUGUAAGUGAAUAUCGCAUUGAAAGUUGUUUAUGGACUUCCUGUAAAGACCUUUGAUGGUUGACAGAUUAUUGUGAAAUGAGACUGAUAGUUGAAAUGCUAUUUUUGUUUGCCCUCUUCUGUGAUAGAUUAGAGAAAUCUUACUCCGUUAACUUAAUUCUUCUGUUAUUUGCCCUCUUUUGUGAUAGAUAUAUGUCCGUUAACUUAAUGUCCAGUGACUUUUUUGUUGCAUUGAGAUGCAUGGGGAUCUACUCAUCCUUGCUAAGAACUGCCUAGUCAAGACGUAAUGUUUGAAUAGUGAUGUGAUAAAUGUGCAUAAACUUCUGGGCCUUAAUAUGUACGGUCUUGACUGUUGUUGUUGUUGUUGUUGUUGUUGUUGUUGUUGUUGUUUUGUCAUGUGAAUAUUUGAAGAUCGGGGAGCUAAAGAAACUCGUUGAAGAGGGCAAAAUCAAGUACAUCGGCUUAUCCGAGGCCUCUGCAUCAACAAUCAGAAGAGCACAUGCUGUUCAUCCCAUCACAGUGGUGCAAUUGGAGUGGUCACUGUGGUCAAGAGAUGUGGAGGCAGAGAUCAUUCCCACAUGCAGGUAAAGGAAUCACCUCAUUAGUUUGUUUAUGCAGAGCAACAGCUUUUUUCUGAUGCUGCUCUCCUUAAAAUGGUGACCAGGGAGCUUGGCAUUGGAAUUGUUGCGUACAGUCCUUUAGGACGAGGAUUCUUUUCUGUCGGUUCCAAGUUAUUGGAGAAUUUCUCUGAGGAUGACUUUAGACAGGUUUGUUUCUGCUGAUCAAACAUAACUAGAUGCUCACAGUGACUGUCAUUCCUAUUGAAGUUCUGGGAACUACGAGUUCUUGUGGUAUACAGAAAAUGCAUCUGGGUGGGAUGUUUAACAAUUGGUGACACAGAUUCUUUAUAUUCCUAUAUUUCUUCUCCGGCACUAGCCCCACACCCACCUCUCUGAUUCCACAUUAGUGUAAAAUCAUAACUAAUGGCUUAAUGAGCCUGAAGAGGCAGUUUCACGACUCUCAUGCUUUUGGGAAUAAGCAGAUAUAGGUUCAUUUGUAUGCUCCUCUGUUUCUCAGCCUUCACCAUUUGCUAUUCACUAUCCUUUCCCCACUUUCUACCUGUCCUUUUUCUCUCAUCUUUCUUCCCACGAGGACAAUUCUCCUCCAUUUGGCCGACACUGGUGUUGAGUCUUAGGCCUCCGUUCUUCUUUUUCUCAGCUUUCUUUAUGGGAUAAAUUAUAUCUCGACACACCAGUUCUGGAGUGGGGACUACCUAACACCCUUCUCAUGGAAGUUUUGGGAUCAAAUUCCUAUCUGACAUAAAGCCAAUUGUGGAUUACUUCCCGCAAUUUGCAUUUGACUAGUCAUUGCGCUGGGAAAGUGAGUAGCUAUUGCUUUUUAGCUAAAAAGGGCUUUACUUCUGAUAAUGUUUCUCUACACAUCAUCUAGAUUUGUGAUUUGUUUCUUUUAAGUGCGAUAAAUGGAUACCAUCCAUGGAGAAAACUUAGAUCGAUUUUGUUUCUGUUGUCAUGUCUUACAGCAAAACCAUCAGCCUUGUGCAGUAGUUUCUAGAGCACUUUGCUCCACAUUUUGAAUGCUUAUGAUAUUGAACAACAUUUUCUAAUCCUUUCAAGAUGAUCUUUUACUAAUCAUGCUUCUCAUAUCAAGACAAUCUGAUGACCACUUCUAGUAUUGUUUGCCCUUGUUGCAGUAGAGUUUUGUGUUAUAAAGAACAUGAUAAUAGCUCAUAUUCUCUCCACUGAGACAGUGCUCCAUAUUAUGCAGAAACUACCGAGGUUCCAGCCAGAGAACUUGGCUCACAACGCGAAGUUAUUUGACCGAGUGAAUGAAAUUGCGCAAAGAAAGGGAUGCACCCCAUUGCAGUUAGCCCUUGCCUGGGUACACCACCAGGGCGAUGACGUCUGCCCAAUUCCCGGCACAACCAAGAUCGAGAAUUUCAAUCAGAACAUCAGAGCUCUAUCGGUGAAGCUUUCUUCAGAAGACAUGGCUGAGCUUGAAUCGAUUGCUUCCGCGGACAAUGUCAAGGGCAGCAGGUAUGAUAGCAGCAUCUCUACAUGGGAAAACUCCGAUACUCCACCCCUUUCUUCAUGGAGCGCUGCUUAGAAAGCACGUCUCCUUCUGUCUGUCUCCGCAUCUUUGAUGUGCAGAGUUUGAGCAUUUGCUGCUGAAGUAAUUUGAGGCUAUGCGGUGCGGCUGUAUAAGCAUGUGUACGAAGAGAGUACUUAUUAUCCUGUUAGUAAAGUAAAAUCUGAACUGCAAAGCGUAAACGUUAACAUUUUGUAUAAGCAACGUUCACUAUGAGAAGAUCAUAAUAAGCUUACUGGGAAAUGAUCACUCAAGAAAGAUGGACCGAUGGCUCUCCAUAAGGCUUUGUCUUCGGGUCGGGAUCGGAGUUAUAGAAAAGUAGAAUGUGAAGCAAUGCUGAUGGACCCCGACCACCUAGAUCGCCGGCACGUGUCACUCCAUGUUGCUUCUCUUGAAAGUUGUCGAAGCCUCCUAAGGCACAAUUGGGUGAGCCUCGAUUGAUCAUUAUACUAUGCGGGAAGGGGAAUGCGUGUGCGGACUUCGUUGCCAAUUGCUAUGCACAUGGAGUUUCAUCUCCUAUUUUUCAAUUUCUCUCUCUCUCUCUCUCUCUCUCUCUCUCUCUCUCUCUCUCUCUCUCUCUCUCUAAUAGUAAAGAAAGAAAGGCCGCCUCACACUCAAAUUCCGUUUAUUCUGCCAAAAAUAAAUAAUUUAGAAAAUAUUUUCUUAAAUAUGGUCACCAUAUUAUUUAUAAAAUGGUUAAUAUUAUGAAAAAUUCUAAACUGGAUAAAUUUAUGCCAAAUUAAUUUUUGAGUCCACAAAAAUCAUAAUUUAUGCAAAUGUGACAAAUUACCUUAAAUUAAUUUUUGGACCAUCAAAAAACCUAAAUUAAUAUAUUUGUGAUAACUUUUUCCUAAAUUGAUAUGGAUUUCCGUUUGAACUUGUUAUAUCAAUUGAAUUAUUGUCAAUAUUCAUCAAACUCAGUAAUUUCAUAGUAAAAUUUAACAGAAAUUACUAGAUGAUAAAUAUGUUAUGGAUAUACUAGUUUAGGGUUUUUAAUGACCCAAAAAUUAGUUUAUGAUAAGUUUAUCACAUGUGUAUCAGUUUGGGGUUUUUUGUGAUAAAAAACCUAAUUUUGAGUAAAUUUGUCACAAGGGUAUUAGUUUGGAGAUUUUCGUGAUAUUAUCCCUAAGUCACUAGGAAAAUAUUUUCAUUGUCCAUAAAAAUAUUUGGAUAUAAAUUGUUGUUGAUAAUGUAAAAAAGUUUUCUUUCACUAAUUAUUUCAAAUGAUACAAUUGAUUUAUUUUCAAAAAAAUGUUUUCAAAAUCGUUCAAUUUCUAUGAAAAAAACAUAACGUUUGAAAAAACAAAAUUCUUCCCGACAAAAAGUGUGGAUCUGUGCAUUUGGUCCUUUUUUUUUUUCUUUUUAGCUUGGACUUUUAUCACUCCGCCGGGAAAAUUCCCAAAAUCUUGGAUUCAUUCAACCAACAUUUCUUGAAAUUUCAAACGUUAGUUUCUAGUUCGUGCAUACCAAUUGGGCCUUGUCUAGUCAAAAGCAUCAAGCGUAUAGUCCUCAUCAAAUGGGGAAAAUGAGUUUUGCCAUGAAAUGUGAAAAUCAAAGAAAGAGUACAUGUAACAAAAAUUAAGGAAAAUUAUUUGGUCCAUUAGAAAAAUUACCCAAAAAAUCCUCAGUAUAAUGCACUUUUAUUAAUUCAAUUCUAAAUCUUUCAAUUUUAUCAAUUGAAUUUUAAACAUUUUCAUUUUUUGCCAAGUGAAUCCAUCAUGUCAAUUUUGGUCAGAAAUUGCUAAGGUAGACACCAAUCAUUCAACAUGAAUAGUUUUUAAUAAUAUUUUAACUUUUUGUCGAAUUAUUUUUUUCUUUCUUUUUUUCCAAACCCUAGGUUGGCAAGGGCCAGUGACCCUUGUUUGGCAUGGGUGAAGGCAUUGCUGCUCUCGCUUGCAAGGGCAUUGAGGGGAGGGCGUUACAACCCUUGCUAGCCAAUUGGCGAGGGUUGUAGCCCUCGCUUGGUUCCAGAUGAGGGCCUCACACCCUCGCUAGUCCAAGGUUAGACGUAAAAGAAAAAGAAAAAGAAUAAAACAUUAUUCAAAAUUGUCCUUAUUAGCAUUGGUUGUACCACAUAGGAUGAUAAAUGUCUAUGUUAGCGAUUUCCAACCAAAAUUAAUUGAAUGGACUUAAUUAAAAAAAUGUGAAAAUAUUUAGAAUUUAAUUAGCAAACUUGAAAUGUUUAUAAUAGAAUUGACAAAAGUACAAUAAAUUUAGGACUUUUUGAAUAAUUUUCCCAUGUGAUAAUAACCUUUGCAGAGUCGGCGCAAUCAGUUGAAUAGUUUGGGGAUUUCCAGGUUAGAAGCUUGAGGUUAUCGGUUGAAUUCUCACAACUCACAUGUUAGGGGUGAGUGGUUGCACGUUUCGUUGAGAUUCUAUAUGAAGCUUGAAACUUACUUGUUGGAACACAUUUCCUAAUUUUUGGAACCUUGAAUUUACCUUACAUACUUAGGAACCUAGAAUCUACCUUGUCAUAGGUAUUAGGUUCUACCUAUACUCUGUACUCUUAAUGACUAGCAUUUACUACAAUCCACUAAUAACAAUUCAUAUAUAAUACACGAAAAUUAUGAAAUAUAAACAAAUAAAAUUUUUAAUUAUAGAUAUUAUUGAAAAUGGAAGCUCGAAUUAGCAGUUUUAGAUUGCAUACUUAUUAUUAGAGGCUAUGAAAUGUCACAAGAUCACAUGAAGACAUUAAAUAAGAAAAACAUAAAGAAUUAUUUCAGAUUCCAAGUUUCAGAUUUCUCACAUGUUGAAACAAAUUCUUCAAUUUUUAGAAGUUAAAACCUACUAUGUAUGUUCUAAAAUUGGAACAAGACUGGUUCUCAUUAAUUCGAUUCUCAGUACCUACCACGCAUAAUCUAUUAUGAGCAACAAACAUAGACUACAUUCAUGAGAUUACGACAUUUUUCCGGAGCCGUCGACGUCGGUGGCUCCGGAUUAUAAUAAAAUAAAAAUCGGAUAUAACGGGCAAGUUCACUAAAAUUGAAAGUGGACACAUAACAUAAUCGUCUUUGUAACUUUCUAAGUAGUGCCGUACUGUUGGGUGAUUUCGCCAAAAAGCCGCGUACCUGUCAUUUCCGACCAAUGAAUGAGGAAUCGAGGGCAGCUCCACCGAUCUUGCAGGUAAGUGCUGUUUUCAGAGCGCUCGUGGACAAGACAGCAUGGAAUCUCCCGCCUCCCUACUAUAAAGCUCGGCUCGCCCCAUCACUUUCAUUAUCGUCUUAGUGCCGAAAUUUUCUUCAUUUUCUCUAUUAUUUUCUAUCAUGUUAUCAAUGUCGUUCUUCCUCGCCUAGCUUCCAUAUUUUAGAGUUGCCUUUCGUUUUAUCUUGGUUUUUUUUUUUUUUUGGUUAUUACAAGUCCUCAUCCUGCAAUACAAAUCAGCAAAUCGAUUAGGAAUUCAAUUUUAAUUUUUUUCGAUACCAAGGCAAAAAUUAAGAACACUGAAAGCUCCAUGAUAGAGGAGACACCUACCUCACCUCAAAAUCAAGCCCCAUCGCCGUCGGAUUCGAUUAUAAUUUGGGACAAGAUAUUUUAAUCAUUUCGAGAUAAUCUUUAACUGAUCAUGCUCUUCUAGAUACACAGCGAUUGCGCACUUCCAAAUGCUUAUUAUGUCAAGUAACAUGACAAUCUAAUGGCAUGCAGUUCAACCAAUUUUGCACUCGUUGAUGUAGAAUUUGGCGUUAAAAGGAAAAUGAUAGUUGCUCGUAUGCUCUCUGCUUAGACAUUGCUUUAUGUUAUGAACUACCUACCAAGGUUGCGGCCAGAGAACUAAGCUCACAAUGCGAAGUAAUUCGACCAAGUGAAUGAAAUUGCACAAAGAAAGGGAUGCACCCCAUUGCAGUUAACCCUCGCCUGGUACACCACUGGAGUGAUGACGUUUGCCCGAUUACCGGCACGAUCAAGAUCGAGAAUUUCAACCAGAACAUUGGAGCUCUGUCAGUGAAGCUUUCGCCAGAAGAGAUGGGCCAAGCUCAGAUCGAUUGCUUAUAUGGAUAAUGUCNNNNNNNNNNNNNNNNNNNNNNNNNNNNNNNNNNNNNNNNNNNNNNNNNNNNNNNNNNNNNNNNNNNNNNNNNNNNNNNNNNNNNNNNNNNNNNNNNNNNCCUCGCGCUUAUGGAAGAGUAAUCACGAAGACAUCACAAUAGUUCAAUUGACGUUAGCAGGUACGUCUUCCCUACAUGGUAAGGGUCGUCACUGGGCGUGCAAUUGACGUAAGCACGUGCGUCUUCACAGCCACUACCGCUCCCCUCCUACUCAUCGUAGCUUCUGCCACUCCCCUCCUAUAAAUCUCGGCUCGCCCGACGCCUUCGCCAUCGUCUCGGUGCAGUGCAGGGAACGAUCGAGCUCGAGCUAGACUACGGCAAUGGCGGCAUCGACGACGACGACGGUGAGGAGGAUCAAGCUGGGGUCGCAGGGCCUGGAGGUGUCGGCGCAGGGGCUGGGCUGCAUGAGCAUGUCCGCCUUCUACGGCCCUCCCAAGUCCGAGCCCGACAUGAUCGCCCUCAUCCACCACGCAGUCGGCUCCGGCGUCACCUUCCUCGACACCUCCGACGUCUACGGUCCUCACACCAACGAAAUCCUCCUCGGAAAGGUCGUUCUCUCAGUCUCUCUUUUGCCUCUGCAUGAAUUAUAUAUGCUUAUGGUUUUACGGAACUUAGCUUCAUCGAGCAGGAUGCUCUGAUCCUGCGCCUUGGUUUUCUGAUUUCGGGGUUGAUUUUGAGCAGGCACUGAAGGGAGGGGUGAGGCAGAAGGUGGAAUUGGCGACCAAGUUCGGAGUCAGAUACGCGGACGGGAAGAGGGAGAUCCAGGGCGAUCCGGCGUACGUGAGGGCUGCUUGCGAGGCCAGCUUGAAACAUCUCGACAUCGAUUGCAUCGACCUCUACUACCAGCACCGUAUCGACACUCGCGUCCCCAUUGAAGUCACUGUAUGGAUCCCUUAUCAAACUUUCACCUCGCUUGAGACUUUCUCUGAGCCAUAUGAUGCAUCGUCAUGUUGUUACAAGUUUGUUGAAUUUUGUUAAAUGACACUUAAGUUCAGCUGAUAGCAGAGUUCAAGAUGCGGCACGGUGUUGUUCAAGGGUUGUGGAAUUUAGUAGUUUAGUGGCUUGAGUUUUCGUUUUGUGGGAAUCUUUUACAAGUUAAGGGUCAACAAGCAUGGAAAUUAUUCGAAAUCUUCCUUUGAGAUGAAAGUGCUCCGGGGUUCAUCCUGAAUUUAUAUACGGGAAUCACAUAUAAAGUUGUUCCUGGACUUUAUACGGAGACAUUUGAUUCUUGACAUAUUGUGAAAUAUGACAAGUACUUGGAAUACUUCUUUUAUUUGCUCUCUUCUGUGAGAGAUUCAAGAAAUCUACCUCCGUUAACUCAAUACCUUGUGGGUUUUUUGUCGCAUUGAGAUGCAUGAUAAUUGAGGGAUCUAGACAAAUAAAAAGCUAAUGACAAAAAUAAUUUUCUGGAUCUUAACAUGUAAGAUCUUGAUGUUGUUGUUCUGUCAUGUGAAUAUGCACAGAUCGGAGAGCUAAAGAAGCUCGUUGAAGAGGGUAAGAUAAAGUACAUCGGUUUAUCCGAGGCCUCUGCAUCAACAAUCAGAAGAGCACAUGCUGUUCAUCCCAUCACAGCAGUGCAAUUGGAGUGGUCGCUUUGGUCAAGAGAUGUGGAGGCGGACAUCGUUCCAACGUGCAGGUAGGAUAUCACUCUGUUAAUUGUUUAUGCAGCAACAACAGCUUCCUUCUGACUCUGCUUUUCCUUUAAAAUGUUGACUAGGGAGCUUGGCAUUGGAAUUGUUGCCUACAGUCCUUUAGGACGAGGAUUCUUUUCUGUUGGCUCCAAGUUGGUGGAGAAUAUCUCUAAGGAUGACGUCAGACAGGUCUGUUCCUGCUUGUCAACAUAAUUAGAUGCUUACAGUGGCUGUCAUUCUUAUUGAAGUGCUGGAAACCUGUUCUUGUGGUAUAAAGAAAAAGUAUCUGGAUGGGAUGAAUAAAACUUGGUGACACGAAUGCUUCGUGUUUUUAUAUGUCUUUAAUCCAGCACUUGCCAGACAUCCCACCUCUCUCGAUUCUAGAUAAAUGUAAAAUCACAAGUAAUGGCUUUAGUGAGCCUGAAAGAGGCAGUUUCCUGGAUUCUCGUCCUUUUGGGAAUGAAUGCAUAUAGGUUUAUAUGUAAGUUGCUCUGUUUCCCAGCCUUCCCAACAUUUGCUUAUCACUAUCCUUUCCCCACUUUCCACCCACCCUUUUUCUCUCAUCUUUCUUCACAAGAUUAGCGAUAUUUCCUCGAAAUAACUGACGCCAGUAUCGGGCUCUGGCCCUCCGUCCUUUUUCUUUCUCAUCUUUCUUCACAAGAUAAACUAUAUCUUGACACAACCAUUUCUUGAGCGAGGACUCCCGACACCCUUCUUAUGAGAGUUUUGGAUGAAGUUCCCAUCUGACAUAAAGCCAAUUGUGUAUUACUCCCCGCCAUUAGCGUUUGACUAGCGAUAGUGCUGGGCAAGUGAAGUAGCUAUUUUUCUUUGUAGCUAAAACAGCUCUGCGUCUGAUAACAUUCUUCUACACAUCAUCUACAUUUCUGAUUUUUUGUUUUAUGUGUGACUAAUGGUAUCAUCACAAGUACAAAACUUAGAUUGUCGAGUUUGUUUCUGUUUUCACAUCCUACAUCAAACCCAUCAGCCUUGUGUGGUAGUUGCUAGAUCACUUCGCUUGACGUUUCUAAUGCUUAUGAUUUGGGACAAGAUAUUUUAAUCAUUUCAAGAUAAUUUAUAACUGAUCAUGCUUUUCCAGAUACACAACGAUUGCACACUUCUAAAUGCUUAUUAUGUCAAGUAACAAGACAAUCCGAUGGCAUGCAAUGCAACCACUUUUGCACUUGUUGCUAUAGAAUUUAGCCCUAAAAGGAAAAUGAUAAUUGCUCAUAUGCUCUCGGCUGAGACAUUACUCUAUGUUAUGCAGAAGCAACCAAGGUUCCAGCCAGAGAACUUGGCUCACAACACGAAGUUAUUCGACCGAGUGAAUGAAGUUGCGCGAAGAAAGGGAUGCACCCCAUCUCAGUUAGCCCUCGCCUGGGUACACCACCAGGGUGACGACAUUUGCCCGAUUCCCGGCACAACCAAGAUCGCGAAUUUCAACCAGAACAUUGGAGCUCUGUCAGUGAAGCUUACACCGGAAGAGAUGGCCGAGCUUGAAUUGAUUGCUUCUGCGGACAAUGUCAAGGGUGGCAGGUACGAUAGCAGCGUUCCUACAUGGGAAAACUCCGACACUCCACCUCUUUCUUCAUGGAAACCUGCCUAGAAGCAUGUCUGCUUCUGGUGCUGCAUCUUUGAUGUGCAGAGUUUGAGCAUUUGCUGCUGAAGUAAUUUGAGUUUAUGUUGUGUGGCUGUUAUAAGUACGUGUAAUAAGAGAGUGACUGUUUUCAUUUUGUACAUGUGACAUUCACUAUGAGAAGAUUAUGGAUGUGUACUAACCUUACUGGGGAAAGAUCACUCGACAAACACGAGAGCGAGUUGAAUACAAACUGAGCCUGCCGUGUCGACUUUAUUGGGGUGACUUUUAGAAUCUGAGAAAUCGGGAUUUUGAAGAAUUCAAACUCAGUCGUACAUACUAGAGUGACGCUUUAUUCUCCUCCAACCAUGAGUUUAAUACUAACACCGUGUGCAACAUGCUCUUAAGACUGGAUGCUACACAUAGAUACAAAGCUUCGCUUUGUGUUUGGUUUGGUAGCGAAGUUAAGGAAAAGUAAAAUGUUACCUGAUGUUCUCGCGAAAACGAAGUUGGGGUUAAAAUGCUGGCGCGGUUGAUAUGAGCGUCAGGGAAAUCGAAGGUUUCUUGUUCAAGUUUCACCACCUACGGCUCAUGAGCUUUUAUGUAGCUCGAUACCUUCGCUCAUGCCUCUGCAUUAUUAUAAAACAGUCGGAGAUAUUGCGCAAGUUUCCUAAAAUUAAAAACGACAAUUCUAUUGUUUUUUAUUUGGAGUUAGAGUGGAGCAAUGUUGUUUUGUUUUGGUUUAGGAAAAUAACGCAAAUAGUCACUGCACUUUGGUUUAACGUAUUAUGUUCUUACUGAACUUUUAAUUUAUUUAGUAUGGUUGUCGAACUUUUUAUACAUGUUUAAUUUAGAUCCGAGGCUAGAUAAAUCCAAUGAUGCUGUGUUUGGUCGUUCGAACAUCUUUGCUAUAUGGGAUAAUGAUAGGAUAAAAAUCCCAUCUAAUAUUUCUCCACGUCUGGACAUAACAUGAUUCAAAUAAAACAAAUUUAAAUGAGUGUUUGAUUUGUAUAAUUAAAAUUAAAAAUAAACCAUGGAAGUCGUAAAUACUAUUCAUCCUUUCCCAAUCUUCAUCCAUAUCAAGCACCCCCGUUCCAUGUGACUUCAAGGACGCUCGCUCCUUCUGCAACACCCCUUUCGCUGCCCUUGAUCAACUCGAUGGAUUACGCUCGCUCUACCUUUGACUUCGCCACAUUGAGAGGCCCUUGGGUUUGAGUUCUCCGCUGGUCUAGCCAUCUUUACUUUCAACGCCUUUUUCCUGCGAUAAAUCCAUCCCCUUCGACGAGUGUGAAUACCGCGUUGAUUCCCUGUUACCGUGCUCCGACUUGUUCAGUCGCUUCAACAGCUUCCCCCGAGACAGCGCGCGGAUCCGGUUUAUGAGUGGACAUGGUUGAGGAGCUCUAUCACCUUGGCUGCCGCCUCUUUCGGAUCAUCUUCUUCACAGCGGAGGUGUCCAGCUUUGAUCGGGAUCACAAAGUUCCCUCCUAAAAUGGAGUUAAGUGACAUAAGAAAAGAGGCAGGGCUGACGAGCUCCGCGAUACUCAUGCUCUAAUUUUGUGGUGGUCAUUUUAGUGAGACAAAUUAAGAGAGAUGAUGGUGGCACUGGUCAAAAGUGAGGACAAGCCAUCGACAAGCGCAGGAGUGGGGGAAAAAGUUGUACCCCUUAUCUUUUCAGUUUUCUAAAUUUCACAUAUCAUAUUUGAAUUUAUAUCACUUUCUAGAAGGGAUUUUUAUCCGGACUAUAUCUGAAUUUCACGUUACUCUAAACAAUGGAUAGGAUCAAACUUGCCAUAUCAGAGUUUAUCCAACCCAUUAAAGACAGUCUUAUGAGAUAGAAUGCAAUGAUAUAAUUUGUGAACUAGAUUAAACAUUUAUUAAAAAUUUAAGAACAAUAGUUUACAUUUUGAUUAUUAGGAUGCAUGAAUAAGUUAUGUUAAAACAAUCGCACAAUAUAUUGAUAGCUUUGAAAUAUGGCUUUCUCUUGGCGAUGAUGUCGAUUAAUAUGGAGAAAUUAAUGGGAGGGUUUAUUUGGCCUAAUUAAAUGGGAGGCUAUAUCAAUGGGAGGUUUUUCAUUGUAACAUUCCCUUGUGCUUGGUAUUUGUAUUUUAGUAAAGGAUUUUGUUAGCAUAAUAGUCUUUGGAUUAUUAUGAGAAUAACAGUUUGUUAUAAGUCAUAAACUUUUAAAGUCGUGAACCCCAUGAUAAUUUCAAUUAUUUGUUAUUUGAUUUUUUGUAGUCUAGAAUAAAAAUUAUCAUCAAAUUAUUUAUUUUUAACAAAUAUAUUGCUCUAACUGUUGUUUCAAUUAAGUUUGCAUCGGAGAAUAGAUUAUUUUGUUUUGGUGCGCUAGUCGAGGGCAGAAGAACACCACAAGUGCCAUAACUUGGCACGCCGGGACACUUAAGUGCCAUAACUUCCAAACGGUACACUUAAGUGCCACUUUUUUUUUCAAGUGGGACACUUAAGUGCCACCUCCGGCGACCCUUGCCGGAAAUCAUACGUGGCACUAUUUUAUUACUAUUUUUGCCAACGUGGCUCGCCGGAGAGCUGAGUCGGCGCUCAGUCACCAGAAACGACGUCGUCUCCAUAAUAAAAGCCCCAAAUCUUCCAAAAACGACGUUGUCUCCCCAAAUGCCCCAAAUCUAAAACCCUAAAUCGGCCAAAAUCCCUAUUGAAGUGCUCGAAUUGAAGUCUCGAACCCUAAUUUUCAUUUGCCCAAAAUUCCUUCGUCGAAUCUUGGAAAUGGAGAGCAGGACUCGCAGCAGCGCCUCAAUUUCCUCUCAUCGAAGCGAAGGAGAAGGCCAGCGUUUCUGUUUUUGUGGGUUACCGAGUCCAAGAAGAACAUCGUGGACUCAAAUCAAUCCUGGGAGAAGAUUUUAUGGAUGCGCCCGAUAUAAAGAAGCGUCGAAGUGCAAAUACUUCAAAUGGAUUGAUGAGAAGUUCUCUGACCGAGCCACAGAGGUGAUAUUGGAUCUACUUCAUAAAAGACAGCAAUCUUCAUCUGUGUUCGUGGACGACUUGGACGAUGUUGACUCAAUGCAAGCUCAAGUGUCUUCAGUGAAACUUUCGAAGAAUGAAGUGUCAAUGCACGCUCAAGCAUCUUCAACUAAACCUUUCAAGAAUGAAGUCCCAAUGAUGAAGAUUGAACGAAAGUGUUACCAAGCGUGUAUUAUGGUGUUGUUUUGUUGUCUAUUGUACUUUAUGAUGAAAUGUAAAGUACUUGAGAAUGAGAAAAAGUUUCUGCGACUGCCAUAGUUAAAAAUGGUGUUGUUCUGGAUUAAACGUUGGGUUUUUUCUUUUUGAAAGAUGCGAAGAAGUUUGUGUUGUGGAACAAGAUCAUUGUUGCUUUGUUGUCGUUUGUGCUGUGGUAUGGACUUGCCAUAAGUUUACCAUCAUCUUCUCUGUUUUGAUGCAGAAUCAUCUUCUCUGUUUUGCAAUGCAGAAUCAUGUUCUCUGUUUUGAUGCAGACCGACAUAUACACAAGACAAACAUGAGUCAUUACCCGAGUGCCAUAAGUUGUAUUCAGUAAUCACGUAAGUGCUAGUCGCGAUGAAAAAAGGAUCACUUUAGUGUAAAGUUAUUGUUAAAGUGAUCGGUUAAGUGUCACUUGUAGUUAAAAGUGAACAGUUAAGUGCCAAGUUUUUUUAGAAUAGGAUCAGUUAAGUGCCAAUUUUUUUGUCGGUUUUCUGUAAAAAUUGCGCCAGCCACCAGCACCGGCGACACCACCAACCAUCACCACUAUCCACACUACACACUAGGCGCUCCAGCCACCACCAUGCUGGUGGUGUUGCUGCACAAGAUACUAGUGCAAGGCUCAGCUUGCACUAGUUUGCACCAGUACACAUGGUGUAAGAUGUGCAAACUGCACACUUGUACCAGGUGUAGGUGCAGCUGCUUAAGCCUAUAACCCCCACCACAAACCAAUAAUCACCAGGCAUCACCAUCAGCCACACCAGCACCCCAGCCACGACAUUAGCACCCCACCAACAAACUGACUACCACCUACCACCAAACAUCACCAUCCACCAUCACUAGAUACACCAGCACUCCAGCUAUCACCACAGAACACCAACAGCAGCAGCAACAAGUAAAAGCCAGAAUCCAUGAUAAACAACAACAUAAAUUGACAAGCAGCGCAAGAUCAUUUCAUUGAUAUUAAUAUCAUCAAGUCUGAGUCUGACAACAUUCAUUUCAUUGAUAUUUCAUCAAGUGUGAGUCUGAGUCUGACAACAUCAAUGAAUGACAAACUAAAGAAAAAAAACAAAAGAUAACCAUCGAUGCAUAGACUUUCUAUAUGCACGACAACAUCAUCGUUUACAUAACUGUUUUUACUCCUAAGCUCCACAAAUCCUAUCACAUCUCAUCUCAUCAAUCAAUAUGCACGACACCCCCUGUUCGUCCUCCUUUCGAUGGGCCUUUCACUUGAUUCAUAAUUCUGGCACUCUUUCUAACUGGACGUGCAACUUCUUCUUCAACCUUCUCAGUAUCCACUGACUCAGAUGGAGCUGCAAAUGUCAUAGGCCGAAUUGAAUCAAAAGGAGCUGGAGCUGGAGCUGGAGAUGGAGCUGGAGCUGGAGCUCGAGCUCGAGCUGGGUUCUUUCUCUUAUUUUUUUUUGGCACAGUUGAUGUUGAUGUUUUCUUCUUUUUUGUUGGUGCAGCCGUCGAUUCUUGAGUUGGGCCUGAGAUAAGAACUUCUGAACUUCUCCCAGGCUACAAAAAAACAAUAAAUUGUUAGCAAAAAUCUACAGCAUAAAUUAAAUUAAAUGCAGCCAAUAAAACUUACAUUGAGAAUGACUGUUCCAGUAGGCUCAUCUGUAUACAGGCCAUAGCCAUAUUGUCUGAACCUCUUCCCAAGUGCCCCUCUUGUUUGAAUAGGGGCGUCACUUUCAGGAACUUGUGAUUUGUUGCCCCUUUGUCCUGCUUUCUUGGGCCCUUUAACUACAGCCGAGGCUUGUUCGACCCAUUGUGUUGGGCGUCUUCUAGAUGGCCUUUGUGUACCUGCCCCUUCACCUGGCCUUGUUCUAGUUGUCCUUCUGUGUAGCCCUUCAACUUCAGUGACACCUCCUUCUGUUUGGCCUUCUGGUGGUACUGGUGGUGGUACUUGUGGUGCCCCUUGCAGCUCCUGUGAUGAUCCUUGAGAGCAUGAUCCUUGAGGUGGCUCCUGUGAUGAUCCUUGAGGUGGCUCCUGUGAUGGCCCUUCAGUUGGCAGUUGAGUUCGAACUUGCUUUCUUCGAACCUGAGAAAGAGGCGAAAAUCGAACCUGAGAAAGAGGCGAAAAGAUACCAUAAAUAUAAUAUCGAGACAUAUAAUAAUAAAAACUGAAUACAAAUUGAUUGAAUUUAGCACUGGGUAUUUCUUUCGCUGCUGAAGAACAGUCGACUGCACUGGCCGUGAUGCUGCUUGGGUCAAUCCUUCAGCUGGCCGUGAUGCUGCCACUUGGGCCAAUCCUUUACCUGGCUGUGUUCUACCUUGCCUUCUUCGAACAGGCUGUUCAGUUUCAUGACUUACUGAGGUUCUUCUUGUGACCUAACAAACACAUUACAUACAAGGCCAAAUAGGAUAUCAUUAUGUACAUUUUUAUGAUAAACGACAAGAAAGCAACAUAAACAUAAAAUAAAUUUCAUGACUUACCGGGGUUCUACUUGUUGACUGAAGAACAGUCGACUCACUUGGCCCUGCUGUGUGCAUUUCUCCAACUGUCUCUUCACUAGGCCCUUCACCUUGCCUCAACCGUUGUUGCUUCCUCAAUUGACAACCUUUAAUAUUGUGGCCUGUUAGGCGACAAUAAGAGCACGUGAUCUUUGCACCCUCCCUGCUCAUUCUUUGCUGACCCGAGACCUCUCCCUCCGCCAUUCUUCGUCUUCGUUUUGUCCUUCCAAUUGUCUUCUUCAGUGGCAAAGGUAGAGGUGCUUCACGAUCCGUGGGCUCCCAAAACUUGCUACUUCUAAUUGGCUGCAUCAUGAACUGAUAGGAAGCAAGAUACUUUGAUUUAUGGUACCAAUCAUCGAUGUAAUCAUCUAUAUUGUCGCCCUUCAACUGGAUGGCACAUAUGGCAUGUGCACAUGGAAUUCCACUUACUUGCCAUGAUCUACAUGAACACUUCCUACUUCCUAGAUUGACAACAUACUUAUCUGCACCCUUCAUUAUCUCAUAUCCGUCAUCUCCAUUCCAAAUGGGAUGACAAUGCGUACUUGCAGCCAAGUUGUCAUCCAAUUUCUUCACAAUCCUAGGACCAUAUUGUCUUGUCCACUUUGCAGCCUCAUCUCUUUGUUUCUGCAGCCGAGUCAUAACCGCAACUCGUAUAUCUUCAAGCAUUGAGAUGACUGGUUUGCAUCUGGCAUCUAUUAUCUUCGAAUUAAAUACUUCACAAAUGUUGUUGUCGACGUUAUCGCACUUGAACUCCUCACUGAAGAAUGCCCUGCACCAAUGCUUCGGUUCUAGUUGAAAUAGGGUAGCACAACCUUCCUUUGUCAACUGAAGCAGUCCUUCUUUGGCUAUUCUAAAGUCAGCCAUGUUUGCACUCUUUGCUAAUUGCCAAAAUUGCAAUUGCAGCUUAUCCCCUUUAUAGUUCUUUGCCCAAUUUCCGUAUAUGUGCCGCGCACACAUUCGAUGUUCAGCAUGGGGCAACAACUCGGCUACUGCCGGAACCAAUCCCUGCAAUAAUUCAAAGUAAGAAAUAUUAUAGCAAAUUACAUGUUCAUAUUACAAAGCAAAGCAAAGCAAACUAUUGACUAAACUUUUCAAAAAGCAAGCAUUACCUUCUGUUGGUCACUCGUGAAUGCCCACCCUUCCCCGUUUGUUAUCUCCAAGUCAGCCAUCAGAUUUUUCAAGAACCAAGACCAAUUGUCCUUGUUCUCAAUCUUUACAAUAGCCCAAGCUAGUGGGAACAUUUGGUUAUUCGCAUCUCUUCCAAUCGCUGCCAACAAUUCUCCCUUGCACAAGCCCUUCAAGAAACAGCCGUCCAAUCCUAUAAUCCGUCUACAACCAGCUAAAAAACCUCGUCUGCAUGCAUCAAAGCACACAUAGAACUUAUCGAACUUGGUCCCAUGAUCAGGAAGUGGUCUCUCAAUCACCUCUACAUACACUCUACUUGUAGGGUUUUGCAGCCUACACUCCCAAGCAUACUCCCACACCUGCCCAUAUUCCUUAGCAUACUGACCAAUAAGUACCUUUAUCACCUUUUGCUUUGCUCUUUUGCACUGAUUCCUAGAUACAUUGAUGCCUACACGCUCCUUCACCAGCAUCCUAAAGUUAGCAAGUUUCAAGUUGGGCAUCACCUUGAUCAGAUCGAAGAAGUGCUUCGACAACCAUGAACUUGUUACCCUUUUGUUUUGAAAAUUAAUGGAACAAGUGUGUUCCUCUUGGUAGGCUCUAAUCUGAAAAGACCCACUCUUCUUAACAAACGCACCGUAAAUCUUCCAUGGACAGUUUUGCUGCGAACACCUAGCUCUUACAAAUUUCUUGGUAUUUCUAAUGAAAUCAAUAUUUCUUUGUGCAGCAAUGGAAGAACUCAGUAUAGCUUCCCUAAAUUGUAUCGCAUCAUGGAAUUUCAUACCUACUGACAAAGUAGGAGAUGCAACAGAUGGAUCAUAGGAAGGAAACUUACUUUUCCUUCUACGCACAGCUCGUUGAUCUUCUUCAACUUCGUCCUGGGAAGUUGCGGUGUCGAUGCUUUCUUCAUAAUCUGUCUCCAGGACCUGGCCAGCAACACCAACAUCUGCAGGGCCUUCGUCUCUGUUUGGAUGAACAGCUACAUGCAAAGUUGCAAAUCUAUCUAACAAAAAGUCCCUUUGUUUUUUCCUUGACUGUGUAAGCUCCUCAUCGUCGACGUCACUUAAGAUUAACAAAUUUUCAGCUUCAGCAGCCAACCCUUCAUCGUCAUCGUCACCCUCACUGGAUUCAGCUACUUCCCAAUCUAAUUCAGUGAUGGUGACAUCACCCAUGUCACAAUCGCUCUGGUGAACAGCAUCUGCGCCCCUCUCCUCCCCAUCCUGUCCAUCAUGACCUACUUCAUCUCCUCCUUCUCCUACUUCGGUGGUAUCUGUGUCAUCAUGUUCGUCCUCACUAUUGUUUUCAACAAACACUUUCGCCUCUUCGCCAUGAAGAAAAUGAUAUAAGACAUCCCUAAAACCAUUAUCAUCUUCCAAAACUCUCAAACCAUCUCUCAAGCCUUUCCCAGGAACACAGUACAGUAACUUUUGUACUCUACAAGGCAAAAAUGUCACUAUAUCCCUAACAAAUCCAAUAUAAGAUGCCUUCUUUAUAUCUACAAAGAUAGUACCCUCAUUCCCCCCCUCAUACUCCCACUCAUCCUCCCCAAUCACAAAAUCUCCACCGUAGUAAACGAUGACAGCAACAUAGUCUUUAUGCGCCAUUUCUGCAACAAAAGAGGACAAAUAUACAAUUAACUAUUUUGGGACCACAUUCACAAAGAACAGACAAUUGCAAGUGGAGGUCCCCACACUCUUUAUUAAAGAAAAGAAAAGAAAAGAAGAAGAGAGAGGGAAGAUGCGGUCGUCGACAGCUGCAGCUUGAAAACAACAGGCCUCAGGACAAGGACAAAUAAAAAUUAAGAUGGGACCCGACAACUGCUUUGAUUAUGCCGUCGCAUUUCUUUAAAAUAUGGAGAGAUUCCUCAGCAUGGGUCCUCAACAAUGCAAUUUAUUAAACAAAUAUCCAGAAGUCCCCAUCCCCACAACCUUCGAUUCUCACAUGUGCAAAGUCCAAUACUCUGAACCCUAACAAUCACCAAUCAUCGCACAUUUCACAUCCGACCACUACAAAUUACUUUCGCACAUCACAAUUCAACACCCUGAAUGAAUCACACAUCACAGUGGAUGAGGCGACGUCGAGCCCUACACUGAGCCCUAAUUUCCCCCCCCUCGAGCCCUACACCGAGCCUAUAUUUCAAUGCCGCUCCUAAACUGUCAAUUUGAACCCCCCAAUAGGAUUGUAGCACUACAUCUCAGCCAUUAAAUCUCACAUCAAGCCUGACCUUUCCCAGCCGACCCCCAAAUUUGAAGUCCGAGCCCUAAUAAACGAGUCGGAGCCCUAAUUUCACCACAGGGGAGAGGAAGAAGAGAAAAAACCUGAGCAAAUCGACGACGGCGAGCGAUGACGGCGCUCGACGACGGCGACCGACGACGGCGACCGACGACGGCGACCGACAAAGGCGAGCGACGACGGCGAGCGAUCACCUGCGAACGGCGAGCUGUGAACGGCGAUGGAUGGAUGGAGAGGACGUCAGACCUACUGUGAACCGACAAAAUGUUAAAUUCCAAAUAAACGAACGACGUCGUUUUGUUUGGCCAAGUGCACAGUGGAUGGGGCGACGUCGUUUUCCUCCUCCACGUCUGCUUUUUUUAAAAAAAAAAAUUGCCACAUCAGUUAAGCUUGUCGCCGGAAAAUGCCACGUCUGCAUUUUGGCCGGUUUUUCGCCGGAUUGGCACUUAAGUGUCCCAUUUUACUCCGAUGAUGGCACUUAAGUGUACCAUUUUAAAGUUAUGGCACUUAAGUGUCCCGGCGUGCCAAGUUAUGGCACUCCAGGUGUCCCGACCUCCUAGUCGAGUAUUGCACAGUACAUUGUCAUUUUCUGAGCACUAGCAACGUUGCAUUCAGACAAGGCGGCAUGGAAUUAUUUGCCCAGCUGCACAUCGCUCGACCAUACAUUCAUGGACUGUUCCUCAGGAAAGCAUAUAGACAUGUGGCAGAUGCAGAACAUUUCACGAGAUUAAAAAAAAGAAAAUAAUUUUAAAAAAACUAUAGUUUCAACUUCAAAACAUGUCGAACGCCUGUUUCCACAUCAAGAAUUUGGGACCUCCCAAAUAUUUUCUUGGUAUUAAGAUUGCUCGAUCUAGUAAAGGUAUUAGUCUUAGUAAGGUAUUAAGAUUGCUCGAUCUAGUAAAGGUAUUAGUCUUAGUAAGAGGAAGUUCAUCCUAUAAAUCAUUUUUGAAGCGGGAUUAUCCAAAUACAAGUCCGCCAUCAUACUAAUCGAACAAAAUACUAAGCUGCCAACUCAUGGACUUAGAUUCUUCAUCUUUUGAGGAUUCAUUGCUCAAGGAUCCAUCAGCAUAUCGGCAACUUGUUGCAAAAUCAAUAUACCUCAUCAUCACAUGGCCCGAUAUAUGUUAUGCAGUGCAAGUACUCUUUAUUCAUGCAUAGUCCAAAACAAUUCCAUAUGAAUGCAGCCCUAGAAGUUGUGAAAUAUUUGAAGUGAUGUCUAAGACUUGGAAUAUUUUUAUCUUGUGACUGCAACAUGAAGAUGAGAGCUUUUUGUAAUAUAAAUUAUGCUACUUGCCUGAUGAACAAGAGAUCUAUUUUUGUUUAUGCAUUAAAUUGGGAAAGUCAUUAAUCUCGUGGAAAAGGAAGAAGUAGUCAAUUAUAUCAUUGUCAUCAGCUGAAUCAAAGUAUCAAGCCAUGGGGAAAACUACCUGCGAAGUAGUUUGGAUAGGAGGAUUACUCUCGGAUCUUGGAUUACAGGUUAGUGGAGCAACUAAAUUGUUUUGUGAUAAUGAUGCUACAUUUAAAUUAACAACAAAUCUAGUUUUUCAUGAAAGAACAAGACAUAUAGAAGUUGAUUGUCAUUUUACUCAAAUAAGAUUAGAGAAAGAGUUGUUGUAACUAAAGGAAUUGGAAUUAUGUCAAUAGGAUAUUUUGGACAAAGGGUUAAUGGGAGCAGAUUUGUGACUCAAGUAAAAAUUUAUGAAUUUUUAUGAGAUUGUAAAAAUUUUAGGGUAUUAUACAAAAAAAAAAGGUCUAAGGUAGAAUUAGUAUGUGAGUUAACAUUGAGGAUUUUUUAUGGGACAAAAAAAAGGUAAUGGUAGAAUUGUGAAUGGAUCUAAAUUAUUGUUCUUUUUUGAGACAAAAGGUACAAUUUGGAGAAAAGCUAAAGCAGGAGGUUUUUUUUCAUAAGGGUGUUAAGGUUCAUUUUGUCAUUCAUAUGACGUCAGCAUUUCUUAUUUUCUCCUACCUUUUCGUCAGCACGUGCGUCUUCGGUAGCACGUGCAGGGAUCGAGCGAGCUCGAGCUAGACGACGGCAAUGGCGGCGGCGUCGACGACAACGGUGAGGAGGAUCAAACUGGGGUCGCAGGGGCUGGAGGUGUCGGCGCAGGGGCUGGGCUGCAUGGGCAUGUCCGCCUUCUACGGCCCUCCCAAGCCCGAGCCCGACAUGAUCGCCCUCAUCCACCACGCCGUCGGCUCCGGCGUCACCUUCCUCGACACCUCCGACAUAUACGGCCCCCACACCAACGAAAUCCUCCUCGGAAAGGUCGGUUCUCUCAGUCUCUCUUUUGCCUCCUCAUGAAUUGUAUGUGCUUAUAGUGUUACGGAAUUUAGCUUCAUCGAGCAGGAUGGGAUGCUCUGAUCCUGCGUCAUGGUUUUCUAAUUUCGGGGUUGAUUUUGAGCAGGCGCUGAAGGGAGGGGUGAGGCAGAAGGUGGAAUUGGCGACCAAGUUCGGAGCCGUCAUCGGGGACGGGAAGAGGGAGGUCCGGGGCGAUCCGGCAUACGUGAGGGCGGCUUGCGAGGCCAGCUUGAAGCGGCUCGAGGUCGAUUGUAUCGACCUCUACUACCAACACCGUGUCGACACUCGAGUCCCCAUCGAAGUCACUGUAUGGAUCCUCCUUAAACCUUUACCUCUCUCUCGAGACUUUCUCGGAGCCAUAUGAUCAGUUGCUAAACUAGAUUGGUGUUAAUUAUGCAUCGUCAUGUUGUUACAAGUUUGUUGGAUUUUGUGGCAGUUGCUUGUAAAUAUUGUUAAAUGAGAUUUAAGAUCGGGUGAUAGCAGAGUUCAAGAUGCGGCACGAUGCUGUUAAAGGGGUUGUGGAAUUUAGUGGUUUAGUGGCUUGAGUUUUUGUUUUAUGGGCAUCUUUUACAAGUUGAGGGUCAACAAUCAAGAAAAUCAUUCGAAAUCUUCCUUUGAGAUGAAAGUGCUCCGGGGUUCAUCCUCAUUUAUAUACAAGAAUCACAUUUGAAGUUGUUCCUUGACUUUCUAUGGAAUGGAGACAUUUGGUUCUUGACAUAUCAUCGUGAAAUGUGACAAGUACUUGGAACACUUCUUUAAUUUGCUCUCUUCUGUGAUCGAUUAGAGAAAUCCACCUCCGUUAACGCAAUACCUAGCGACUUUUUUGUCACAUUGACAUGCAUAAUAAUUGACUAAACUAUUGAGGGAUCGGGAAACAUAAAAAGCUAACGAUGUGCAUAAUUUUCUGGAUCUUAACACGUAGGAUCUUGACGGUUGUUGUUUUGUCUUGUGAAUAUGCACAGAUUGGAGAGCUAAAGAAGCUCGUUGAAGAGGGUAAGAUCAAGUACAUCGGUAUGUCUGAGGCCUCUGCGUCAACAAUCAGAAGAGCACAUGCUGUUCAUCCCAUCACAGCGGUGCAAUUGGAGUGGUCGCUGUGGUCAAGAGAUGUGGAGGCAGAGAUCAUUCCCACGUGCAGGUAGGAUAUCACUCUGUUAGUUUAUUUAUGCAGUAAAAUCAUCUUUCUUCUGACUCUGCUCUUCCUUCAAAAUGUUGACUAGGGAGCUUGGCAUUGGAAUCGUUGCCUACAGUCCUUUAGGACGAGGAUUCUUUUCUGUUGGCUCCAAGUUGGUGGAGAAUUUCUCCAAGGAUGACUUCAGACAGGUCUGUUUCUGCUGGUCGACAUAAUUAGAUGCUCACAGUGACUGUCAUUCUGAUUGAAGUGCUGGAAACCUGUUCUUGUGGCAUAAAGAAAAGUAUCUGGAUGGGAUGAAUAAAACUUGGUGACACAAAUGCUUCACGUUCUUAUUUGUCUUCAAUCCAGCACUCGCCAGACAUCCCACCUCUUUUGAUUCUAGAUAGAUGUAAAAUCACAAGUAAUGGCUUU